This 253-nucleotide ribosomal RNA is filed under the name uncultured bacterium. RNAcentral describes it as "partial 16S ribosomal RNA". It matches the Rfam family "Bacterial small subunit ribosomal RNA", at positions 524 to 776 of the family's 1533-position model. The record is from RNAcentral.
UACGUAGGGUGCGAGCGUUAAUCGGAAUUACUGGGCGUAAAGUGUGCGCAGGCGGCCGAGCAAGUCGAGUGUGAAAGCCCCGAGCUUAACUUGGGAACUGCGCUCGAAACUACUUGGCUAGAGUGUGGCAGAGGGAGGUGGAAUUCCACGUGUAGCGGUGAAAUGCGUAGAUAUCGAGAGGAACACCUGCGGCGAAGGCGGGUUGCUGGGCUGACACUGACGCUGAGGCGCGAAAGCUAGGGGAGCGAACGGG